Molecule: long non-coding RNA, 367 nt
Filed under: Ananas comosus (pineapple)
Lineage: Eukaryota; Viridiplantae; Streptophyta; Magnoliopsida; Poales; Bromeliaceae
Description: long non-coding RNA (ACOM_LNC015406)
Source: RNAcentral
UUGGAGUGUAGAAAAUUAGCUAAAAUAUGCAUGUUGGACUUGAAUUUGACUUAGGAGAAAACUGACGCUUCUACACCGCCAUUUGAACAAACUAUCAGAUUUAGCCCUAGAAGCCGUAGUUUGAUUGUAUCACCGCAGUUUGUGGGCGGUAGAUACCCAGAAUAGUGUAGAAUAUAUUUACACUCGUGCUGAGGUGCCGAGUGUAUUUUUACAGCAGUGUUUAGGCUGUUCAGAAUUGUCGGGUGCCGUUGAGGUUGACGGUGAACCCAGAUUACUGUUUUUACAUCAGAUUGUACCGAGGGCACGUGAGUUCAGUUGUUAGACCCUGUUUACUUGACUAUAGCCUGUGAGAGCCUGAUUGAGCUCG